Molecule: ribosomal RNA, 503 nt
Filed under: uncultured bacterium
Lineage: Bacteria
Description: partial 16S ribosomal RNA
Rfam family: Bacterial small subunit ribosomal RNA
Source: RNAcentral
AUUGAACGCUGGCGGCAGGCUUAACACAUGCAAGUCGAGCGGAGUGAUGGUGCUUGCACUAUCACUUAGCGGCGGACGGGUGAGUAAUGCUUAGGAAUCUGCCUAUUAGUGGGGGACAACAUCUCGAAAGGGAUGCUAAUACCGCAUACGUCCUACGGGAGAAAGCAGGGGAUCACUUGUGACCUUGCGCUAAUAGAUGAGCCUAAGUCGGAUUAGCUAGUUGGUGGGGUAAAGGCCUACCAAGGCGACGAUCUGUAGCAGGUCUGAGAGGAUGAUCCGCCACACUGGGACUGAGACACGGCCCAGACUCCUACGGGAGGCAGCAGUGGGGAAUAUUGGACAAUGGGGGGAACCCUGAUCCAGCCAUGCCGCGUGUGUGAAGAAGGCCUUGUGGUUGUAAAGCACUUUAAGCGAGGAGGAGGCUCUUUUGGUUAAUACCCAAGAUGAGUGGACGUUACUCGCAGAAUAAGCACCGGCUAACUCUGUGCCAGCAGCCGCCGCAG